UACAGAGGUCUCAAGCGUUGUUCGGAUUCAUUGGGCGUAAAGGGUGCGUAGGCGGCGUGGUAAGUCGGAUGUGAAAUCUCGGAGCUUAACUCCGAAACUGCAUUCGAUACUGCCGUGCUUGAGGACUGGAGAGGAGACUGGAAUUCUCGGUGUAGCAGUGAAAUGCGUAGAUAUCGUAAGGAAGACCAGUGGCGAAGGCGGGUCUCUGGACAGUUCCUGACGCUGAGGCACGAAGGUCAGGGGAGCAAACGGG
RNAcentral lists this ribosomal RNA (253 nucleotides) under uncultured bacterium. Its description in RNAcentral is "partial 16S ribosomal RNA". It matches the Rfam family "Bacterial small subunit ribosomal RNA", at positions 524 to 776 of the family's 1533-position model. The record is from RNAcentral.